Molecule: long non-coding RNA, 278 nt
Organism: Papaver somniferum (opium poppy)
Lineage: Eukaryota; Viridiplantae; Streptophyta; Magnoliopsida; Ranunculales; Papaveraceae
Exons: 3
Source: RefSeq, a predicted model, not a curated record
AAAAAAAGGAGGGCGAGAAUUGUCGACUCUAUCAAUAUGAGGAAAGGAGGCAAUUAGCCCAACGACAACGUCGCAGCAGAGAGUUGAAGCAAAAGCUGGAAAGCCAGAAAAGCCAAAAAGGACCAAUCAACGGCAACAUGUUUGGCACACCAAGCACGCAGAAAAAGAGAGAAACGACAAAAAACAUGUCAAGCAGACGUCAUAAUGAACUAAGGUGUGCAAAUAGAUACUGAAAAAGUACAUGGACAAGAUGAUGCUUCUGUCAAUGAGAAAGUUGA